This is a long non-coding RNA of Drosophila navojoa, 405 nucleotides long. The record is from RefSeq and is a predicted model, not a curated record. Lineage: Eukaryota; Metazoa; Arthropoda; Insecta; Diptera; Drosophilidae.
UUGAUUGGUUCUCUCAAUGUCAUCUUCAAUUCUUACUACGCGGGACGGUACCGCGCUCUGAGCAGAGCGCUGCAGUUAGCGUCGUACGCGAAAAAUCUUCUAGUAAGGAACCUCAAUGAGAUCCAAUCCGUACAAAAGAGCGCACAACUACCGAUUCUAACUAAUAUAACGAUAAAAAACGACAAACUAGGAAAACACAUGAACACGAAACUAUCGAAGUUUCGUUAGCCGGUCUUAAAGUCAAAACUGUUAUCAAGAUUCAACUUCUCAAACAAAAAAAAAAACACAUAAUUCGAGUUGGUUUUCAGGACGGUACCACGCCCCUUUACUUGAUGCCGGGGACGUGUGCUCGCGCCCUGUUUUAAUGGAGUAACUGUUAUUAAAAAAAAAAAAAAACAACAAAAA